Engraulis encrasicolus (European anchovy) is the source of this 4608-nucleotide long non-coding RNA. RefSeq lists it as uncharacterized. The transcript has 3 exons. The record is from RefSeq and is a predicted model, not a curated record. NCBI's taxonomy places the organism in Eukaryota, Metazoa, Chordata, Actinopteri, Clupeiformes, Engraulidae.
GAACAAGUGGUGUAGCAAAACGGGGAGAGUAAUGGCGUAGUUGCAGACCUCACGGGCCGGGCUAAACCACAGCCUGGCCCGUGAGGACCGAAUACCUUGUGCAGUGGAACGCAACAAACACGUCCCUGUGAUCCUGCAGCACCAUGUCUCCGCUUUGUAAUUGUAGCGAUACAACCCUGUUGCCUUGUUCUUCACCUCAUGAAACAAGACCAUCCAGAAUUCCUCAACUGUCAUGUCCAGCAUCCACACAUUCAAGAGGCUAUAGUACCUCAAGUCAAGUCCGCCACCACCAGUCAUGCUCUGGUGCCCUCAGAGGGAUGUCUUUGACUCCUGCCAGGAUGCAACAUGCCCAGGUGGACCAAUAACAACGCAAGGACUGCAGUAAUCAAGCUGUAGAUGAAAGACCAAUGAGGUCAAGUAAAACACCACUGAGAUGACAUCUCCACCAAACCAAAUAGUGCCCCUGCAGCUGUCCAAUACCUUAUCUAAACCCAAUGCUGAGUGUGUGUGUGUGAUUGUAGCUUUCGCAUCCAAUCUACAAAGUAGCAGUAUUCUGUUUUUUCAUUGUAGCACUAUGAGAGUGAUGUGGCUAGGGACCCAGAAUUUUUAAAUGACAACUCCUUGUUGUUGUUGAAUCUUUUUGAUGUUAUUUCUCACACAUCAGUAGUUGUUUCUGGAAUGCAAAUUAAGGUUGUUUCUUGACGUUCCAAUUCCAAUGAAUUCCAAAAAAAAGUCUACAAUGGUGUGUGAGGUUAGAAGGGGUGGGUAGUUGGUGGACAGGUAUCUCACUACCUCAGUGACAAUCAUAGGCUAGUAAAUAUCCCCAUGUUUUCUAAGUUAAACCUUGCAGUAUAGUGGAAAUUGCAUGUGAUUCUUUAAAUGCAUCUUUGUUGAAAGGAUUUUUUCUUUCCUUUUUGAAAAUGGUGAAUUGGGAUCAGAAAAUCAUUGCAUGCAUUUUUAAAAUCUGUUUUCUUAUGGACUUUUUGCAGAUAUCCUGAAAAUAUUGUGUGUGUGUGUGUGUGUGUGUGUGUGUGUGUGUGUGUGUGUGUGUGUGUGUGUGUGUGUGUGUGUGUGUGUGUGUGUGUGUGUGUGUGUGUGUGUGUGUAUGUGUGUGUGUGUGUGUGUGUGUGUCUUGGUCCAUCUCAUGAGGUUUCCAUCACCUGCAUGUGCUCCAUACGAAAGGCAAUGACAGAGCAACAGGACUUUGUUUAGUUGUUCAGCAACAGUACUUUAGUUUAGUUCCUCAUAGAGGUAGUAGUAUUCAUAUCCUGGGGUGCUUGCUUUUUGUUUCGUUGUAGUAGGUGAUUCAGUUUGUCUCAAAAGUGGGAUAUAGGAAACUGAAGUGGUGAUUGUAAUGAUAUGUUAAACGAAAUGAUGGGUUGUUGAGUAUGUGUGUACCAAUACCAGAGGAAUUUGAAAUCAUUUCCAGUCAGACUAAUAGUCUAGUACGGUCCAUACAACCAACCCUAGAUACGGGAUCUGUGCAAUACGUUUUCUCUCCCUAUCCUAUUUCCCUGUAAUGGUUUUGAUAUAAAUAUGUAUAUUGUAAAACAAAGUGACAAGUUGUUCAACAAAACAACAAAAUCACCAAUGUCUUCCAUUAAGAAGUGUAUAGUCCCAUAUGCUUAUGUAGCCAGCUUUUAGUGCCAACAUUAUAAUACAUGGCCAUGCAUGCGGGGUAGUGAUGCUUGCUGAGUAAUAUAGUUCUAGUUAUAUAUACCUAUAUCUUUCAAGGUGUAUACACAGUACAAACAGAAUAGACCUUAGAUACGAACUGGGAUGUAGCAUCUUUAUACAGCAUUAGUCCGAGAUUGGUCUUGAAGUGGGGACUCCCAAUGUCUUUGUUCUCUCAUCUCGAUUCGCGUGGUCAGGCCUGGCUGUCUGAUAGCUAGCGUGUUUGUCUGUUUGAGAUAAGCAGGGAAGGGUUAUUUUUAGUCUGUAUGCCUUUUAUUGUCACACGUUUGACCUGCAUGCCCGUUGUCACGGUCCCAGAGAUGCACAUGGUAGUGCUAUAGUCAUAUUUUUUGGGUUUGCUGUUGUUUUUUUGGUUGUUGCUAGUUUAAAUUGCCGUUUGAAGGGUUGUUUAGAUUAUCCUCAUCCACCAUAUACAUUAACUACCCAUCAUCUCCUUUAGUAUGUGAGAUUGAGCCCUCACAGAAGGGUGUGUAGCAAGUGUUCAUCAUCACAUGUACUCUACAGUUUACUCUCUACACUUUAGUUUAACGGAGUAGCAAAGGGGUAGCCUUCAUGAAGUGCACUAGCUGCCACAGUAUGCCAACUAUCUUCCAACCAGUCUUUGACAAUUAUCAAAUUAAUAGUGGAAGAAGCUAUAUAUUUCAAAUAUACAGUAUAUUUGGCUGUACGGUUCAGACCAUUUGAACUGCUUAGAAAGGAGUGCUUGUGUGUAACUAACAAAUCUGCAAAUUUUGGGUUUGUGAUUGUGGCUUGGCCUCGAACAGCCAAGAGUACAAGAUUCUCAUCCUUCUUAGUUGGUAGUUUGCCUAAAGUAGGCUAGAUAGCCUAGAAGACUAAGAGUAGCACAGACUUUUAACUCUAGGUAUGCAUUAUGUUAGAGAAUUAACCAUCUUUAGAUUGAGUAUUAACAUGUAAAUAAAUACCUCACUUUAAUUGGAAAGCAGAGAACAUAUUAAAAGUAGUUCUAAUAAAUAAAAACAAUUAAGCCAUAGCAUACUGGCAUGUAAAGUAGAGUUUAGUAGGAGCAAUAAAACAAGAACAUGUUAUGCAUGAUUUUAGUGCCAGGUUUGGUCCAAUUAAGUGUUGAAAAGAAAAGCACUCUUGUUUCAUGCCUAUCCUAAGGUGAUCCUUACUAAUUGUAAUGAGAAGCCAUCCCAGACCAAGGGAUGUGUCCAUUCUACAUACAGGUGUGGCAAGGGGUAAAAACACACGCUUUGGAAAGCUUUCUAUACAACGAUAUUUUCCAAAUCCCAGUGGAAACAAACGAACGCACACUGGUCUAUUGACACUGCAGGGGACAGUUUCCAGUCCUUUUGACAUUCCAGCAUGCAUAACAUUGCAUGUUUCCAUCGCGACGGCAUUCGUAACAGCAUCAUUACCCAAUGCACAUGAUAUAAAUAAUAUGCAUUGUAUUGCAAUCAAAAGCAAUAUAAACUUGUACAGUGGUUUGCUAUAUUCGAAUACCUAGUAUUUUCUGGGUAAACACACUAAACUGUAUGUCUGAGGUCACCACCGUGGCAACGGCAGUUUUGUCUGUUGUGUUGUGCGUGCGUCUCGUGAUGGUGCGAGGGAGCUAGCCACCUGUGACAGCAUGAGGGCCUCCCCUUACCUGAUAUGCUGCUGCUUUAACGACAACACAAAACGGUGACAAAGACAUGUCCUCAUAUGGCACUUUCCCCUCAUCAGUACUGUACAGAGUCCAGAGACGCUCUCUUCACUCCCAAUUGUAACCCUGUAACAUUACAAAGCCAAACCUCCGCCCACGCCUUCUAAUGAUAUAGACAUGUGAAGAUGUGAAAAUAACCAUGAGUGUAGUCUCUGUCUAUAGGAAUGCAGUGGAAAUAGUGUGUUUUGAUGCAUGACGGGGCAACUUGAAAACGUGUAGAAACUGCAUGCAAUAAUAAUAAUAAUGAUGACUUUUUGUUUCUUUGAAUAUGACUUUAAAUAAUCAUUGCUUGGAAAUGGAUUGGUAACUACGGCAUUGUUGUGAAAAAGAGUUUUGUGUCAAACAAACAAACAAAAAAUAUCUCCCAUUAUUUGUUUUGGUACCUUGUUACUCUUGUUAAUUCGAUCUGGGCAUGAAGUUACGUAGAUACGUAAAUUUAACCAAUGCUUAAACUGAUACUAUGCUGAGUUAAUUUAGCAACAAGUUAAAUUGCUUAAAUGCUGGGUGAAUUAACAUUCUCACGGUUGCCCAGUAGUUUGUGGAUGGAAAACCAUGCUUGCAAAUUGGCUGGUGCCAGAUCGACACCCAUGGUCAGAGAUGUGCAAAGUAGAAGUACUGUUACAGAUAUGAUUACAACACUAGUAGUAUGGUACGGCAUAAUUGCAACUACGUCAUACCAUACUACUAGUGUUGUAAUUACAUUUGUAACAGUACUUCUACUUAAUACACCUUUGCCUAUGGUCUAGUGUACUGUACGUUUAGUAGGGCAUAUUCAGUCCUGACCCACUAGGGGAGCCUCAAACCAAAAGUUGCUUAGUAUCUCUUUAAUACAUUUUUCAGGAUCAGAGAGCACAACAUUGAUUAAAAAACAGACAUACGCAAGCAGUUUCUGUUCCAAAACGGGUAACUCUUGCUGUGCAUUUGUGUAUGUAGCAAUUCAACAAUUCAUGAUAAUGAAUUUGAAUGAUGACCAGCAAUGAAAUCUGUUGUAGCUCCCUGCAUUGUCCUUAUGGAAAGUUGGUUACAAUGUUGAACAUUUAUGCUUUAGAAAGCACAACCGGAAAACCUGGAAAUUGUUCAAAUUCCGUUUGUAAACUCCAAAUGUUGAGGCUGUAGGUUUUGUCCAACUAUGCACUUAACGAGGGGCACCAAGCAUGCUAAGAUGAGCCUCCUGAUCAUUUUGUUGAAAGUGAAAAUGCAUUAUAUAUGUAGCAAUAAAAAGCAGCAUGGUGCCAAUCAUACAAAAA